AGACCCGAAACCCGGUGAUCUAGCCAUGGGCAGGUUGAAGGUUGGGUAACACUAACUGGAGGACCGAACCGACUAAUGUUGAAAAAUUAGCGGAUGACCUGUGGCUGGGGGUGAAAGGCCAAUCAAACCGGGAGAUAGCUGGUUCUCCCCGAAAGCUAUUUAGGUAGCGCCUCGUGAAUUCAUCUCCGGGGGUAGAGCACUGUUUCGGCUAGGGGGCCAUCCCGGCUUACCAACCCGAUGCAAACUGCGAAUACCGGAGAAUGUUAUCACGGGAGACACACGGCGGGUGCUAACGUCCGUCGUGAAGAGGGAAACAACCCAGACCGCCAGCUAAGGUCCCAAAGUCAUGGUUAAGUGGGAAACGAUGUGGGAAGGCCCAGACAGCCAGGAUGUUGGCUUAGAAGCAGCCAUCAUUUAAAGAAAGCGUAAUAGCUCACUGGUCGAGUCGGCCUGCGCGGAAGAUGUAACGGGGCUAAACCAUGCACCGAAGCUGCGGCAGCGACACUCAGGUGUUGUUGGGUAGGGGAGCGUUCUGUAAGCCUGCGAAGGUGGCCUGUGAGGGU
Molecule: ribosomal RNA, 563 nt
Filed under: Salmonella enterica
Lineage: Bacteria; Pseudomonadati; Pseudomonadota; Gammaproteobacteria; Enterobacterales; Enterobacteriaceae
Description: partial 23S ribosomal RNA
Rfam family: Bacterial large subunit ribosomal RNA
Source: RNAcentral